Molecule: long non-coding RNA, 741 nt
Filed under: Triticum aestivum (bread wheat)
Lineage: Eukaryota; Viridiplantae; Streptophyta; Magnoliopsida; Poales; Poaceae
Description: long non-coding RNA (TAES_LNC009490)
Source: RNAcentral
GGGUUUUCACGUAAAAAUCCGUGUCUCUCGUGUCUCGUUUUAUUUUCGUUAUUAUCUAACAGACCAAAGAACCAAAAAUAUCAUCCUGGAUUCCAAAUGAUCUACCUUUUUAAGGGAAAAUGUCCGGCUCUUGUAUAUAGCAAUAACCCUAAGGUACAAUCAUAGAAUCAUUAGACUCUAGCAGCCAAAUAUGCCUACCAUUAUAUAAUAAAUAAACAAAGGAUCUAGCUGAUGAGUUUCGUUGUUUGACGUACGUCCUUCUGCACACAAAUAUACGUCGUCUCCAGAAACUGCUCUUUCCUCAGUGAGAUUUCAUAUAGAAACGAGUUGUACUGGCAUAACUCCCAAAGUUGAUAUCCCUCACCACAUUCACUGCAUCAGAGGCCAUUCUAAUCAACGUUGAGCAAGCACCCAAACCUCACAGCAGGCUAUGCCUUCCACUAUAUCAGGAUCCAUCACACCACACCUCCCAACUUCCCGAGAUAUUGCCGGUACCGCUCCUUGGCCGAGGUUCUUCACCACGGCCCCGUCCAGAUUGAUUUAAUCAUUCCCUCGGGUGAUGGUAACCACUUCGCCAUUUUAUUAUUGUGUGAUCUUGCCACUUUUUCAGCCUUGGUUAAAGCAGAAGAAUAGCAUCAAUGUAGCUCUGAACGAAGGUGAUCGGCUCUGAUAAAUAUUCUCGUCAACACAAUGGAAUCAAGAGUACCUAGAACCCAGCGGAAGUAAUAUCGAAUCGAGGGG